AUCAUUUCUGCUUUGCUAAGAGGUAUUAUUUUUGGCUGAUGAUGGAGUCAGCCAUAAAGGUGACCUGGUUAUAAGGGGGAAAAUACUGAACAGAGAAAGACCUCUGCUCAAAUACUGACAGAGAAAAUACCUGCCACCCUGGGAACCAGAAGGAUCCUUGAGGAGUGCAGGUGGCAUCUUUGAAGUACAGCUGGAUACCGAGAAACCAGAGACAUCCCAAGAUACCACUGAUAAGUGCAAAAACAACAGUAACAGCAAUGUAUAAUCUGGAGAGGUGAAAAACAUGUCUGGAAAAGGGGGAAACAUCCUGAGAAAGUAAGUGUUGGUAACUGCUAUUGGCUGCUCUAACUCACAGAACAGAAAAACAGUCUGAUAAAACAAAAAGUGGUCUGAGAGAAUAGAAAAUAUCACCAGUUAUUGGCUGUGCCAGGUGAAAAAUAGAAAUUAGCAGCAUUUAUUGGCUGUUUCAGGUGGUGGUGUCCUACUCCCCUUUAUGUCUCUGUGAUACAAAAAGGACUUACUUUUUAUCCAAAAUGGAACCUCUUUCCUGCACGCAAACUCCUUUUCCCCAUGAGAUUUCCUCGGCAGAGCGGACCCUCGCCAGGGACACCGGGCUGACUCCAGGCUCUGAGAUGUGGAUCAUCGUCCAAGGGAGACGCCAUCCGCUGCCGGCUGGCCUCACUUCUGGGGUAGGAUUGACUGGCCCCACUGCUGGGAUCGGUUUGAGCAUUUGGUCACCCUAACUGCAACAUCAGCAACCAGAACCUCAGUUUAUUCUCCCUGGAUUUUGGUCCUACCUUAUUCAUCAUACUGAUUUGGCAAGAUGACAUGAAAUGAAACAACAUGAUGAGCACUUUUGUUUCUUACAGUUGUUAUAUUAUAUAUAUACAGUGAUUGGAUCAUAUCUAGUAAUUACAAUACUGCUUGUUUCCCUAUCUCAAGGAUGGAAUAGCAAUCACACUGUUCAAUAUAUGAAUACAGUUUCUCAAGUGGGCAACAAACUGGAUUGUUGGUAUUGCCACCCUCAAUCAUCCCAAAUGUUGGUGGUGAUCAGAACCUGUACCUGAAGCACCUUGGUAUCAACCUAAUUUGGCAUACUUACUACCCAGUACACCAAAUUAUCAACACGCUUUAAAAUCACAUUCAUAUGCUAAAGCCCCAUUACACAAAUUCAGUUUGGGUGGGGAAAGUAAGCAAUUGUAAUUAUACCUUGUAUUAAAAUCACACCCAAGGACGGUUUCAAUGUCAGUGUGACAGAACACAAUCUUGUAUUGAUUCUGGAAAUCUCAUGGACCUGAAAUAAUGAAUCAGCAAUUACAAACAAAGGUGUUUUUAAUGGACUCUGGCAUCUUACAUGGAACAUUAAUAACAUGAACUGUCAAAGAUACUACAGUCUCACUAGUCUUGAUUCUACAUGCUGUUGUCUACAGAGUAAUGGUUGGCUUAGUACUAAUGAUGAUUGGGGUAUAUGUGGCCCAAGCAACAUAUCUGGCUGUAUAGAUCAUAACCCCUUUUGGACACUGAUUCAUGUGUUUAACAAAAUUGAAUUGUUUUUCUAAUCCGUAGUGUUCAUUCUGCAAACAUGGCAAUGACUCUGGGUGAAGCUGGUGGCCGACAUUUUAACAUCUGGAUGGUUCUGGCUUUGUGGUACUAAUAAUUAUAAAAGUCUACCACCACAGAAGACUGGCACUUGUACCAUAGCAUGUCUUGCUCCUUUGGCAUUUCAAUCUCAGGAUCUGACAUAUAACUUCCAACACAACCAUUACUCUGUAGGUAAUCAGGGCAGAGUGUCUAAGCCCACAGUAAUGAGACCAUCCGUUUCCUAAAGUUGUAUGUGUGCUGUUUCCAAGCUUGGGUGCUAUUGAAUUAGAAUAAGCUGUUGUUAGUAUUUCUGCUACACUUGAAAUUACCCAAAUGCUACUAUGGAUGCUUUAAAGAACCCACAGAUGGAGAGUAACUCACUGUCACAAUUGGCUACCGACACAAAUGAAUUAUUAAGAAAAGUCAUUGUUGUAGAGCUUACUAAAAGGGUUUUAUUAAUGAUUAAACAGUGAUUAAAUGGUAAUUAAUGAGUGAAUGAAAAUGAAAUAAUAAUCAAAUGGUGAUUAAGAAAUAAUCGAAUGUUAAUUAAACAGUGAUUUAACAAUGAUCUGACAAUGAUUUAUAGGAUGAUUUAAAUGAUAAUUUAGAUGGUGAUUAGAUGAUGAUUUAGACAGUGUCGAAACAGUAUGACUUACUACACUUCCAAUAGUUAAGCUAGAUCUGGAUAUAUAAAUGUUAGUAGCAUACAAUAUACCUUUUGGCCUAAUGUAAAAUGUUUCUUACCUCAUUAUAGACAUUAGAUGUCAGGUAAGAGGUGGCUCAACCUCAAGGACUAACCCUGAGAAGCAUCCCUGCCCAAGGGGAGAGCAACUCUGUGCAGCCUGCUGCUGUGCAGGAGAGCUCAAUGGGCUCGAGUGGCUACAGAUGUCUCUAGCCUAAAAUGAUUGUCUUAUAAUCAACCCCACUGGUGUAUGUGCAGGUGUGGAGCUGUAGCAGUUUUAGUUUUGUCUCGUCCCAGCUGGGGCUGGUGCUGUUAGUCCUGAUAAGCUGUGGCCUAGACUCCUUAGUCCCUGAGGAGCUGUGGCCCAGCCCGGGUCUCACAGCUUGCCCAGCAGGGCUGAUUUCAGUCACGGCUGCUUGUUGGUGAUGCCUGAACCAAAGCACCGCUCGCUCACUCAGCGUGGGUACACCCGUCACAGCUACUCACGUUCGCUGGGCCUUGGAUUAUCUUUUAGGCUCCCAGAGGAGUCUUUGCAUGUUAAUGAAUAGUACCCGUUGCUUUUACACUAAGUCAAACAAAUCAAAUAUGAAGUGAAUGUUAUUCAGCAACAUGUCCACCAAGUAAUCCAAGAGCAGCCCCUGCCCAGGCCUGGCCAUGGCCAUCAUCUUGGCUGCCAGACCCCGGAGCAUGGGCACAGUGCAUCUCAGUGACAUUAGCUCUUGUCCUCGCUGCAGGAUGCAUGCUUUUCUGUAGUGUAUCUCAUACGAAAGCACUGUUUUUAUCACUUUUAUCCAAACUGGUACUGUACACUCGUGCCUCAACCAACAAACCCUCUCAGAAGUUGCAACAACACUGGGCCCAACACGGCUAUGAGUCUCCUUCUCCUCAUGCAUUAGGAGGCAAGAGACUACGCCAGGCGGGGUGUAGUCUCACUCCUAGUGACCCAUCAGCGGUCACAGGCCAAGGGGUGGAGUGAUGGGAGCAGCCAUAAAGGCAAUCUGGUUAUGAGGGGGAAAAUACUGAACAGAAGACCUCUGGUCAAAUACUGACGGAGAAAAUGCCUGCCGCCCUGGGGACCAGAAGCAUGCUUGAAGAGCACAACUGGCAUCUUUGAAGUGCAACUGGGUACCAAGAAAUCAGAGACAGCCUGAGACACUUUCGAUGCGAAGUACAAAACCAAGAAACUGUAACAGCAAGUUAUCAUCUGGAAUGGUGAAAAAAAAAAAAAAAAAAAAAAAAAAAAAGCCUGGAAAAGGGGGAAAACACCCUGAGAAA
Long non-coding RNA from Tyto alba (common barn owl), 3538 nucleotides. RefSeq lists it as uncharacterized. NCBI's taxonomy places the organism in Eukaryota, Metazoa, Chordata, Aves, Strigiformes, Tytonidae. The transcript has 2 exons. The record is from RefSeq and is a predicted model, not a curated record.